GGAGUCAUACUCAAGUCUGGUUGAAGAGAUCUGCCUUGAAAACAGAGAGGUCGGUAACACCGACGCGAAGGUUCGAAUCCUUCUGGCUCCGCCA
RNAcentral lists this transfer RNA (94 nucleotides) under Caudoviricetes sp. RNAcentral describes it as "tRNA-Ser". It matches the Rfam family "tRNA". From Rfam's summary of the family: Transfer RNA (tRNA) molecules are approximately 80 nucleotides in length. Their secondary structure includes four short double-helical elements and three loops (D, anti-codon, and T loops). Further hydrogen bonds mediate the characteristic L-shaped molecular structure. tRNAs have two regions of fundamental functional importance: the anti-codon, which is responsible for specific mRNA codon recognition, and the 3' end, to which the tRNAs corresponding amino acid is attached (by aminoacyl-tRNA synthetases). tRNAs cope with the degeneracy of the genetic code in two manners: having more than one tRNA (with a specific anti-codon) for a particular amino acid; and 'wobble' base-pairing, i.e. permitting non-standard base-pairing at the 3rd anti-codon position. Lineage: Duplodnaviria; Heunggongvirae; Uroviricota; Caudoviricetes. The record is from RNAcentral.